GCCCUAAAAAGAAAAAAACUCCCUUCUAUGUAGCAUACCGUGUGUGUUUUUAAAGGCAAUCUUUUAAAAUAUUUCAUAAAUAUAUUUUUUAUAUUUAUAAUUUUAAAGUCUAAUGAAAAGAAAUCCUAGAAAACUAUUUGCUCUUGAUUUAUCUAUAAUCAGAAAUACGUGUUUCUUUAUUAGAUUUGUCAUAUGAACUUUUUGGUGCUUAUUCUUUUUUAUUGAAGUACAAUUCAUUUAAAAUGUUGGGUUAGUUUCAGGUGUACAGCAAAAGGAUUCUGACGUUUUUGGAUUCUUUCCACAAUAGGUUAUUACAAGCUAUUGAAUAUGGUUCCCUGUGCUGCACAGUAGGUCCUUGCUGUUUAUCUAUUUUAUGUAUUAUAGUGUAUGUAUAUUUAUCCCAGACUCCUAAGUUAUGCCCUCCCCCAACUCCCUGCUAUCCCCUUUGGUAACCGUAAGUUUGAAGUUAGAGAAAAAAAAAAUCAUAUGAUAUCACUUAUAUGGGGAAUCAAAAAAAAAAAGAUACACAUGAACUUAUUUACAAAACGGGAAGAGACUCACAGACAUAGAAAACAAGCUUUUGAAAGUGGUUUUGCUGGAUGUUUUCCAUUUGCCCUGAAGCCUGACCUUUACGAGCCGUUCUCUGCCUCUCCGUUUGUCAUCAUCCAAAGAGGACCACUGGGUCCCUCCAGGGAGAGGAGCAGGAUUGGGUCAGGCUGUUUAUUCCCAAACACCUGCACCACACGCACGGCUAUUGCGGGCUGCCUGUGGCUCACGGCAAGAGUCCCAGCUUUUGUCCCUCUGCAGUUCUCCGUCCCUGGUUCCCAGCUUCUCCCUGCCCCACCCUUCAGAACAAGCCACCGCAUCACUGGGAGGUCCCUGCCUCUGCCACAGCUCUGUAACGAGUGCUGUUAUGGGGCACUCCACAUGCCACUCCAAUGGAGCAUGCCAUCCAAUCGCGCUGGGACCCCAACCUAUGCACUCCUUAUUAUCUCACAAGAUUCUUACAAAAAACCCACGAGAGAAGAAGGCCAUUCAUGAUUUUCUCAACAGAAUGAAGUUGAGGCAGGCUGGGGGGGACCAGCCCACCCAAGAUCACAGAGCUGCUAACUGACAGAGGCUGGCUGGGAGUGGGGGUCCCUUCCCUGCACAGGGGUCUUUCUUCCCAGGGCAGCCCCUUCUGGUGUGGCUCUGUCGUCACAGUUAAGUCCGAGCUGGACGUUGGCUUCAUCUCUCACUCAUUACAAAAAAGUGGGAGCCAGCAGCGUGCUCACAUGAUGUCCUUUUGUUUCUUCUUUUAUUAUAAAGCACCUCAAGCUCAUUGCUAAAGGGCACAGCAUUAAUUUAAAGGUAACAGAUAGCACCAUGGAAAUUGGAAGAAUAAAAUAAAAAUAUAUGCUCAUAAGACUACCUGUGUGCACUCAAUCGCAGUGUUAUUGGCCACACACCAUUCAUAACACACCUCCUAGAGGACUCCAACCAGUCCGUCUUUAUUGCAGUUUCACCCUUCAGAGGUUUUGGAAUUCCAAGACGGCACCAUGGAGGCUGGAUCUGCGGGGUCUGCCAGUCUUGCACCUGGGUGGUGACCAGUGGAACACCUGUAUCCAGGUGUCUCUUGGUUCAGCUCUUACUCUACACGAGCUGCUCUGAGAAAGAGGAGUGCCACAUACCCUCUCAUUCCAGGUGUACUUUAAAUGCACUACUCUACUUUCAGUGGACUCUGAAUUAGAUUAUAAGCAGGAAAUAGAGACUGGUUGAAUGUGCUGUGUGAAGUUACCGAGCUACAAUAGCAAAGGCAUCAAUUAAACAUUUGCUAAUCAUCUGCUAGGCCCUGGCCCCUGUGCUGAAGGCACCGAGGAAUAAGACCUUCGUUCUCUCAAGUUCAGUCCAGCAAGGGAGACUAGCCCAAGGAUGCUCGCGAGAUGGUCAUCUCAGUUGUCAGUUAUAAACCUAGAAAGCCGUCUGUACAGAGGCGCCCUUUGGAUAACCCUUGGCCGACGUGAUUGGCUGUUGCUGGACACCAACCCGGCUGGAAAACGUGACCUUCUCUCACCUGAACUUGGACCCCCAGGGCCUCAGGUGCUCCCUCCUGAUGGAUGGAGCCAAGCCCUUCCAACCUUCUGGUUGACCCUGGUCCUUAUGGGCUUCUCAUAGCGCUGGACAUUCUUAUUGCCUUUGUGGCUCCAAAACCACGUGGCUGGCAGUUCUGCAAGGGGUCAAGAACAUUGGGGUGAACCAAAUGGAAAACCACGGCUCGCCACCAGGGAUGUUCUAGAUGGAGGGGUGCUGGGUGCCUGUGCCUGGAGGUAGGGGGAUUGGGCUGCCUUGCAAGAAGACCUGCACUGCCAGGAGCAGCAAGCAGGUGAGAGGUGAGAAGGGGCCACAUUAGAGAUGCAGGCCAGGUGGGCUGUGCUGACCGUGGUAGAGAUGGAGCGACUUGAUACGACUGGGGUUUUUAAACCCUGUGCAGGCUGUUGACCAGAAUGGAAGAUGCCCAGAGUGGUGGCUGGGACCCUAAGUAAUUGGUUACGUAGGCACCUGAGCAAGAGGAGAGCAAGCCUGAAGCUGAGACAGUGCAGGAGCGGGAUGCCGGCUGGUGCUCACUGCCUGGAUGCAAUUUUCUCCGGUUCAGAGAGAGAUGCUGUCUGUUCUUUCAAUUACGGCUUCCACGGCGACUUUCCUGCCUUUCCCUCCCAGAUCAGCAGUAAACGCGUGGAGAAGGACCCUGGGCUGGGUGUCUCUUCAUCAGGAAAAGGCUUCCCAAAUGUUUGAAAGGAGGUAUUUAUUGUGCAAUGAAUUCACACUCCUGCCUUCCAAGGAACGUAAAGAAAGAUUUGUAAAAGCUCCUUCAACCAGCAGCCCAGCCCCCAGCCGGGACAUCCACGUUCAAGUCUCCUCUCUGGCCCCGCUGCAUCCGGAUCGCUGUUGUUGAACAUUUAAGGUCUUCCUCCUACAAACGGAACAUGAAGUGGUCAGUCGUGCUGAGCUAAUCCUCUAGGAGGAAUGUGGGGAUGACAGGAACCCAGGUCUUACCCACCCUCCCAAAGCUUAAUCGGCAGUUCACGCGCAGUUGGGUUUGAUUUUUCAUCUCACAGCAUCUUAGAAUUGAUGAGGACCUGGACUUUUAUUUUUAGCUGAAUUCCAGUGUUGUAAUUAUGUUGCAAAUAGCAGACUGUGUUUGCCUGUUCUUUUAAAUUUCCCAUUUCCCAUUCUCUUGGUGAAUAUUAUGACGUAGGUCGGGAGCUGCUUAGACGUGCUUUAGAAAACAUAAAAAUGUGACUGUGCACAGUGACAGGCUGCAUUUCAUGGAGCAAAGAAAUGCAUCUGCAGGACCAGCUUGGAGGGAGAAACUUGGGGCUGGGGAUGGGAGGGUGGGCUCGCAGGCAGCGUCCUUCCCUGGACUUGCGGACCAUUGGAGGUGGGGCUGGGGAGAAGGUGGAGCUGAGAGUAAUUCCCAGGCCAAGACCAGGAUGGGCACGCAGCGGGUAUGAGAGGUGAGGGUACAACCGGCAGCCUCCAGUGGCAUGUCCGGGGCUUCCUAGACGGGCUCUGAGAGAUCCGUCAGUCCACCCCAGUGAACCUCACGACCUGGACACACUUCCCUGAGGCAGAGGGGCACAGGAGCAGCAGGAGGUGGGCAGAACCCUGGGGAAAGGCUCCAGGGAUGAAGAGCCCAGGAAGAAGAUACCAAGAAGGAGACUGGAAAAGGGCAGCCUGGAGCUUGCGGAGGCCAAGAGAGUGUAGGAUGCAGGGAGAGGCCGUUUGCCCUAUGCCCGGCUCCGAGCUGGGCGGCCGCCCUGGAUGGACCACAUUCAGAGGCUCCUGUGCCUUUUGCUCUAGGUGGGGUUGGCCAAUGGGCGGCACAGGCAGGAAGGGGUGCCAAGGCUGGACCUAGUGCCCGUGCUGUGCCCCUUAUUCUCUGCCCCCGGCCCCUCUUCCCAGUGCCUGGGGACCCAGCCAGCCUGUGCUGUUUUCUUGGCCCCUGUGCACAGGCUCUGCAAAGUCCCUUCAUGAAGCACUCCGCAGCUGUGCUGCUCUGAGAGCAAUGUAUUUCCCAGCUUGGACGCUGAGCGAUGCAGUGACUCCAGUUUGUACCAGGCAAGGAGGUCACAAGUCUGUCUAAAAUACACUCUUUGACGUUAGCACUCGGGCUUGCAUGGCUUCGGGGCUGGGGGCUGUUUCAGUGAAGGUGUGCAGGGAAAAGACGAUGAGAGCCCCAAAGGGAGUGCGCUGUUUUUCAGGGCUCGUCGCUGCAGAUGCCUCGCCAGCCCACCUGCGAAUGGUCCCGCCCAGAAGGAAGGGGACACCUUCCCCAGGCGUUUGCCACCUUAGCACUUUAUUCACAGUGUAGCUGCUUUUAAUGACAUUCUUAAAUAGUGGUAAUCUUUUCUUUCUUAAGCUGUCAACAAUCGCUAUUUUUUACACAUUAAGAAGCAAACAGAAGCUGUUGGUGUGGAGUUCCCACGGUGACACACAGGAUAGGCAGCAUCUCUGCAGCCCUGGGACAUAGGUUCCAUCCCCACCUGGCACA
Molecule: long non-coding RNA, 4531 nt
Filed under: Sus scrofa (pig)
Lineage: Eukaryota; Metazoa; Chordata; Mammalia; Artiodactyla; Suidae
Description: lncRNA (ENSSSCG00000054414.1)
Source: RNAcentral